UUGGGUAAACAUCUUUCUCAUAAUGUUUCAAAUUUUUUCGAAAUCGUUUCAUCAUUUUUCUGAAUUUUUCUGUGCCAUGAGUCGACCCCCAGGAUCGACCCUAGGGCAAACUUGUAAUUAUGUCAAAACCCUUCGGAUGCUCUCUUUUUGUUGAAAAUUCUCCUUGAGCCGACCCAACUCUCUGCCUUCUUCCUUCCGUUGAACCAAAGGUCUCCCUCUCUUCUUCUUCAAACCCAAGAUUUUCCUCGAAACUCCUCUCCCACCGACUCUCACACUCCAAAUCACCCACUUAGGAACCAAGUUCCUCCCCUUCUUCUUCUUCAUUUGGAGCGAUUCGAGCUUACCCUAGACUCUACCUGUCUCCUCCAAAUCGGCACAUCACAUCUCCAAAAUCCUUAUCUUUUCACUAAAAAUUCUUCAUCUCUCCCUCACAUUUGCUCUCCUAAGUUUCAUGCUAGUCCUGCCUGUGCAAAUGACUCCCAAAAUGAAGCUUCCACUGAGGAAGAAAUCCGUUCGCGAAUUGGAGGAAAAUGUGCGCCGAAAGAGACUAGCAACCGAGACCACUUGUGCUUCAAACCCUGCUCCUGGUUU
RNAcentral lists this long non-coding RNA (591 nucleotides) under Elaeis guineensis (African oil palm). RNAcentral describes it as "long non-coding RNA (EGUI_LNC049695)". Lineage: Eukaryota; Viridiplantae; Streptophyta; Magnoliopsida; Arecales; Arecaceae. The record is from RNAcentral.